UGAGAGUUUCUCAUCAUAUCUCGUUAUACAAGUAUCUUUACUGUAUAAUGACUAUGACGUUUCAUUCCAUUUCAGGUAAAAAAGAAGAAAAGGGAUGAGGCCCUCAUCAAGGAAAAGAUGCAGCGUACAUUCUCCCUCAGGAGACAGGAGGUUCUCCAGGAGCCAAAGAUUCCAGAGUUUUUCAAUAAAUGGCCAGCACUCUUUGACGUCAUUGAGAUCAACUUGGAGUUUAUGCGGCUGACAACUGUACCACUGACCUCAACAUUUUUGAGGGAACUGGACCGCCUGACCGGCGACCUGAUCAGGGUUUUCAACACUAAAGGGGGAGCUGCAGGGGAAAUAAUCGGAGCCAUGAUGGCAAAGAUGGAGAAUGUAAGUAUUUUUUUGGUCUAACCCAGGGGUGUCAACCUCAUACGCCAUGGGCCAAAAUUAAAAAAUGUGUACAAGUCAAGGGCCGGACUGCCAUCCUUAAAUCCUUCUGCCAUCCCAUUCUCAUGAACGCUAUAUCUACAGUGCCUUAAGGGAAUUUUUUCAAAUUAACACGCACUUGGCCUCAAUGAUGAGCUGCUUAGAAUUUGGUGGUCAAAGGUGAGGGUGACACAGCUCAUUGUUCUCUGUUCCCUCCAUCUUUCAGGACAUCGAAUGCAGUGAGGCCGAGGCAGAUGUCGCAGGGACAACCAUGGCAAUCUACACCGUUCAAGCUGAGGGUGAUGAUCAUGAUGGUCCUGGUGGACUCUUUGCAGAUGUCGGUAUGGUCCUGGAAGGGGUCAAAGUUCUCAACAACCUCAAAAGUAUCAACCAUGCAUGCGUAAUGCUUUAUGGGUUGAUCUAUGCUCUUAAUUUAAGCUAUCCAAAAAACUUAAGUAUACAUUCGAAGCUUACCAGAAGAUCCUGAUGGACCUGGAAUCGUCCAAGCCUUCCCCCAAAGUACAAGCUCUAAACUCAAAUUGCUCAGGUGACUCUUUUUUUGGGGUGGGGUGGUGAUGGGAGGAGGAAGUACAGGAAGAGACCGCCCAUACAUGCUGAUAACCAUGUGUUUUAUAGUGUUCCAGUACGUUCACAACCUUGAAGAUUCACACAUCGAACACACAGAAAGCUAGAAACGGAAGGUGCUCAGUUAACUAUGUUCUACUACUAUAUGUUUAAUGUUGUUGAGCCUGUAGAGUUUGUUCUGUCCUUUCAAUAUAUCCCAUUACUGCGAUCGUUCCAGCAGAUACAGAUGUAAGGAAUGUUGUUGAGCCUGUAGUUUGUUUGUUUGUUCUAGAUCUAGAAAAAAGAGCAGGUCCUUUACUGCCAUUGUUUGAGCAGAUACUAACUUGCCUCUGUUCUAUUGAAAUUACAAAACAUGUUUCAUGUUCCAUCUAUAGCAGUAGAUGACUUGGUUGAAGAACUACACUACCUGCUAAGUACAGUGUCUGUGUGAAGAGAAGCG
RNAcentral lists this long non-coding RNA (1432 nucleotides) under Gadus morhua (Atlantic cod). Its description in RNAcentral is "lncRNA (ENSGMOG00000025054.1)". Lineage: Eukaryota; Metazoa; Chordata; Actinopteri; Gadiformes; Gadidae. The record is from RNAcentral.